RNAcentral lists this ribosomal RNA (253 nucleotides) under uncultured bacterium. RNAcentral describes it as "partial 16S ribosomal RNA". It matches the Rfam family "Bacterial small subunit ribosomal RNA", at positions 524 to 776 of the family's 1533-position model. The record is from RNAcentral.
GACAGAGGAGCCAAGCGUUGUCCGGACUGACUGGGCGUAAAGCGCACGCAGGCGGCGCUGCGCGUGGGGUGUGAAAGCUCUUGGCUUAACUGAGAGAGGCCAUCCCAUACGGCAGUGCUCGAGCGGUGCAGAGGUCCGCGGAAUUGCCGGUGUAGUGGUGAAAUUCGUAGAUAUUGGGAAGAACACCGGUGGCGAAGGCGGCCAUCUGGACCAUUUCUGACGCUGAGGCGCGAAAGCGUGGGGAGCAAACAGG